Molecule: ribosomal RNA, 328 nt
Filed under: uncultured eukaryote
Lineage: Eukaryota
Description: partial 18S ribosomal RNA
Rfam family: Eukaryotic small subunit ribosomal RNA
Source: RNAcentral
CCCUUAGAUGUCCUGGGCCGCGCGCGCGUUACACUGAUGCAUUCAACGAGCUUAUAACCUUGGCCGAGAGGCCUGGGCAAUCUUGUUAACGUGCAUCGUGAUAGGGAUAGAUUAUUGAAAUUAUUAAUCUUGAACGAGGAAUUCCUAGUAAACGCAGAUCAUCAAUCUGCAUUGAUUACGUCCCUGCCCUUUGUACACACCGCCCGUCGCACCUACCGAUUGGAUGGUCCGGUGAAGCCUCGGGAUUGUGGUUCUUGCCGCUUUAUUGUGGCGUGACCGCGAGAACUUGUCUAAACCUUAUCAUCUAGAGGAAGGUGAAGUCGUAACA